UACGAAGGGGGCUAGCGUUGCUCGGAAUUACUGGGCGUAAAGGGCGCGUAGGCGGACAGUUUAGUCAGAGGUGAAAGCCCAGGGCUCAACCUUGGAAUUGCCUUUGAUACUGACUGUCUUGAGUUCGGGAGAGGUGAGUGGAAUGCCGAGUGUAGAGGUGAAAUUCGUAGAUAUUCGGCGGAACACCAGUGGCGAAGGCGACUCACUGGCCCGAUACUGACGCUGAGGCGCGAAAGCGUGGGGAGCAAACAGG
This 253-nucleotide ribosomal RNA is filed under the name uncultured bacterium. RNAcentral describes it as "partial 16S ribosomal RNA". It matches the Rfam family "Bacterial small subunit ribosomal RNA", at positions 524 to 776 of the family's 1533-position model. The record is from RNAcentral.